This 490-nucleotide ribosomal RNA is filed under the name uncultured bacterium. RNAcentral describes it as "partial 16S ribosomal RNA". It matches the Rfam family "Bacterial small subunit ribosomal RNA", at positions 30 to 507 of the family's 1533-position model. The record is from RNAcentral.
AUUGAACGCUGGCGGCAGGCCUAACACAUGCAAGUCGAACGGUAACAGGAAGAAGCUUGCUUCUUUGCUGACGAGUGGCGGACGGGUGAGUCAUGUCUGGGAAACUGCCUGAUGGAGGGGGAUAACUACUGGAAACGGUAGCUAAUACCGCAUAAUGUCGCAAGACCAAAGAGGGGGACCUUCUGGCCUCUUGCCAUCGGAUGUGCCCAGAUGGGAUUAGCUAGUAGGUGGGGUAACGGCUCACCUAGGCGACGAUCCCUAGCUGGUCUGAGAGGAUGACCAGCCACACUGGAACUGAGACACGGUCCAGACUCCUACGGGAGGCAGCAGUGGGGAAUAUUGCACAAAGGGCGCAAGCCUGAUGCAGCGAUGCCGCGUGUAUGAAGAAGGCCUUCGGGUUGUAAAGUACUUUCAGCGGGGAGGAAGGGAGUAAAGUUAAUACCUUUGCUCAUUGACGUUACCCGCAGAAGAAGCACCGGCUAACUCCGUG